Molecule: ribosomal RNA, 627 nt
Filed under: uncultured Lachnospiraceae bacterium
Lineage: Bacteria; Bacillati; Bacillota; Clostridia; Lachnospirales; Lachnospiraceae
Description: bacterial SSU rRNA
Rfam family: Bacterial small subunit ribosomal RNA
Source: RNAcentral
ACUUAGUGGCGGACGGGUGAGUAACGCGUGGGUAACCUGCCCUGUACAGGGGGACAACAGCUGGAAACGGCUGCUAAUACCGCAUAAGCCCUUAGCACUGCAUGGUGCAUAGGGAAAAGGAGCAAUCCGGUACAGGAUGGACCCGCGUCUGAUUAGCCAGUUGGCAGGGUAACGGCCUACCAAAGCGACGAUCGGUAGCCGAUCUGAGAGGAUGUACGGCCACAUUGGGACUGAGACACGGCCCAGACUCCUACGGGAGGCAGCAGUGGGGAAUAUUGCACAAUGGAGGAAACUCUGAUGCAGCGACGCCGCGUGAGUGAAGAAGUAUUUCGGUAUGUAAAGCUCUAUCAGCAGGGAAGAAAAUGACGGUACCUGACUAAGAAGCACCGGCUAAAUACGUGCCAGCAGCCGCGGUAAUACGUAUGGUGCAAGCGUUAUCCGGAUUUACUGGGUGUAAAGGGAGCGUAGGUGGCAAGGCAAGCCAGAAGUGAAAACCCGGGGCUCAACCGCGGGAUUGCUUUUGGAACUGUCAUGCUAGAGUGCAGGAGGGGUGAGCGGAAUUCCUAGUGUAGCGGUGAAAUGCGUAGAUAUUAGGAGGAACACCGGAGGCGAAGGCGGCUCACUGGA